This 448-nucleotide ribosomal RNA is filed under the name uncultured bacterium. RNAcentral describes it as "bacterial SSU rRNA". It matches the Rfam family "Bacterial small subunit ribosomal RNA", at positions 355 to 825 of the family's 1533-position model. The record is from RNAcentral.
UCGGGAAUUUUGGGCAAUGGGCGAAAGCCUGACCCAGCAACGCCGCGUGAAGGAUGAAGUAUUUCGGUAUGUAAACUUCGAAAGAAUAGGAAGAAUAAAUGACGGUACUAUUUAUAAGGUCCGGCUAACUACGUGCCAGCAGCCGCGGUAAUACGUAGGGACCAAGCGUUGUUCGGAUUUACUGGGCGUAAAGGGCGCGUAGGCGGCGUGGUAAGUCACUUGUGAAAUCUCCGAGCUUAACUCGGAACGGUCAAGUGAUACUGCUGUGCUAGAGUACAGAAGGGGCAAUCGGAAUUCUUGGUGUAGCGGUGAAAUGCGUAGAUAUCAAGAGGAACACCUGAGGUGAAGACGGGUUGCUGGGCUGAUACUGACGCUGAGGCGCGAAAGCUAGGGUAGCAAACGGGGAUUAGAUACCCUCGUAGUCCCUGAGCGGGCUGGCAAGGCGCAU